AGAGUUGGGGGUGGGGGACACCUCUGGUCAUUUGAGUCCAGCGAGAGAAGACAAGAAGAGAGUAAAAGAAGGAGCAGACAUGAGAAGGAAGGAAUAGUGUGUGUGUGUGUGCGUGUGUGUGUGUGUGUGUGUGUGUGCGUGUGUGUGUGUGUGAGAGGCAGCCUUCUGAUGAGUGCGGGAUCUCUGCCGACUCCCACCACCAUUACAGCGGCGCAGAACACAGCCCGGGGGUUUUGGAAUCAAACCCAUUACAUCUGAUACUGGAUUUCUCUCCCGCUCAGAAGUAAUGCAAUGUGGACUCGCCUUCCUCUUAAGCUGGCCAGUGUCGCAUAGCAUCGCUGCGCAAAGAGCUGCACCACAAGGAAAAAAAAGAGGACAGGGGAGGAGGAGGAGGAGGAGGAGGAGGAAGAGAGUGAAGGCCUGAGAGUCGGAGAGAGGAGAAGCUGCAGCCGGAGGGGUCAUAUCAUAUCUCCGUUUUCUUGUUUUGGUACAUUAAAACAAGAGCUGGCUGUCUCCUAAUAACUCACAGAAUCUAUGGGACUGUGUGCAUAUGAAGAGGCCUGCUGUGUGUAUGUUUAUACAGGAGGGGGGGGCUUGUAGUCCAUUUGCAUAAUUAACAGACUGGCAUUUGAAAAAGCAGAAUGUCAGCACAAACAACCUUGGACACCAAACUACCCCGGGUCAUUUUUUCCAGCCUUGUAAUUGGCUCCUAAUGCAGAGGAGUUAACCAUCGAGAUUUUCUGCCCUAAAAGCAAAAAAAGAAAAAAACAAAAAUCCCCUCUUGUUAAUGGGCUCAGCAACAACCUACUCCUGCUGCCGGCGUUUAUCAGCCAGUUUCCACUUUGGGAAGUUAGGAUGAUUAUGAAUGUCCAAAAAUAUCUCCUUCCACCUUUAAAUCCAUCAAACAUCUUCAUGAGUCUGCAGACGAACUCUUCCUUCAGUUUUCAGUCGUUAGUUGAAGAUAAGCGUUCAGGAAGUCUCUCUGUUGGGGCCUUCCUUUUCCCCGGGAUACGGUAAAGGUAACCCGUCUCUGCCUCUCUGACACGUCUGAUGUAAUGUUUGUGUAAGCCACCGUACUCUCUGUAGCUGCUGCGUCGCCACCUCUGCAGAUCAUGUCUGCGCCGCGUUCUCAACAGAUCUCACUCGGCGACUACGUGCAAUCUGAGGGAAACGGGCGAGCGCAUGGAAGGAAACUUUAUGUAGGGCAGCCCUACAGCUAAUGUACAGAGAGAGUUUCUGUAGUUUGUGCAGAAGAAGAGGAUUUUAUUUUGAUCCAUGGGAUCACAUAACGAGAGGGAAAUGAGUGUGAGGUUUAUAAUUUAUAAUUUAAUGUUGGACAGUAUAUUCCAAAUCCAUCCAUACAUGGCCUUCGAUGUCAAUAUAUAGGCAGGAUCUGAGUUAGUUCCGGUUUUUAGGAGAAAUCUUAAAUGUAAACUCUACCCCUCCCAACCAGUUUUCCCCUCAGCUCCUCCUCUCCCCUCAAGCCCCACCCACAAACAGACGCUCCUGCUCGCUCGUAUCGUUCCAAUCAAAUUCAGAUAUAAUGCAGAUAAAUACUUCAGAUCAUUACAAAUGGGGCCCAGUCAAGGUGAAAGUCAAAAGCAUUGGUGCUACUGUAGAUGCCAACAGACUACCAGCAAACACAAUGUUUGCAGGACUUCUACAACGAGGAUAAAGUGACAUAGUCCAGGACCCGAGGGAGGACAGUUUAGCGAUGGCGCUACAACACGCUACAGCAGGUCCGUUUGACAAGAAACACUUCUGUUACAGACACUUGUCUUACUUUGUUAAAGCGGUUUACCUGUCCAGCAGAAAGGUUACAGGGUCACCAAGAUCCCCAAGCGUCCCCCAUGGUUUAUGUUGACCCGGCUUUUUAGCUCUUGUCCGGUCUACCUCCGUUUUAAGCGCCCGUUAUCCCUCCAGAGUCUCCGGUAUUUACUUUGUUUUCUUGCUUGUGUCGGCAGUCGUGGCCAAAGGAGGAUUCAGACAAUUUUCCGAACUUUCUGGUUGGUUUCUACUGUCCGAUAUUGUAGCACGCUAACUUUGUUUGGGCUCCUGAACGACACGGGGGAGCAGCGUCUGCCUCACAACCAAUCAGGUUAGAGGAGGUGGAGAACGGCUUUGUUUACAGUCAGAAAGAGCGGACCGCUCAAAGAUGUUCAAAUGUUGACUACACAGACAUAAGAGAACACAUCUUGUUUUGUUUAUAAACCACAAAAAAAAAUGCUUCUUUAACGAAAUCCUGCCUACCCCACCUUUAAACUAUGAAACGUAUAAUUCUGGCAGCAAAACCCUUUUUUUUUUAUUGAUAAAGUUUGGCUUCAUGUUGCACCAGGAUUCAGUGUUGAAGAGCCAUUCAAGGACAACAUCUCAUCCAUACUACACUGCGUCCUCGUGGGACGAUGUUUACGCCUUCAGAUGCACAGAAACCUUCCAGAAACUUGAGGCUGUCUCUUGUCAUCAAAUCUGACGUGUAAGUGGAGAAGCGUGAGCUGCAUUGAAACAGAAAAACCCCCCUCUGGUACCUGGACUUCCAAGCUGUUCCUGGGGAAGAAUUGAAUUUUGGGAUUUGCCCGACACCACGUCUAGCCUUUCGGGAUGUAAUCUCACGUCCACACACCUAUUAACCUCGACCAGCAGAGAAGUUGGAAUGACUUUCAGGCUCCAGUGAGUCCUGUGCAGGAUAAUGACUGUGGUGAGUUCAGGUAAUGUGGUUAGCGAGCUGUUGGGGCCAAGCUGUCAGCUCUGUGGCUGAGCUAGAAGAGGGGAAAAGAGGAGAGAGAGAGAGAGAGAGAGAGAGAGAGAGAGAGAGAGAGAGAGAGAGAGAGAGAGAGAGAGAGAGAGGGUGAAGUUGGGCCUGACGGGGCCUGAGAGCAAAGUCAGCAGCAGCCUGGGAUCAGUGGUAAAGCCAGACUGAAGCAGAUGUCCUCCUGCAGGUGAACACAACACAAGGAGGCGCACAAGGAUACGAGUAUUUACAUACAAGUCAGAGACUGUAGAUGAUUGAAGAUGAAGAUGAAGUCCAUGCAUGUGCUUGAACACUGAAAUCUUCUAGAAUCAGCAUCUCCUCAUCCAUGAUGUCAUCGGGGUGAAAUGGCGUCUAAAAACCUUUCACUUGUUCGUCUCCGCCCGUUUGCGUGUGUGUUUUAUUUUGAAAAGAGGCCGGAUGUUUUAUUUUGUGUCUGUGCCCGACUUCCUUUCCAGCACGGGUUAAUCUGCGCUAAAUUUAUCCGGCAUGCUCCAGAAAAAAUAGAACUCUUGAUCAGCUGAGGAGUCCGACGAUCCGCAGAGGAACGGAAAGAAGUCGGUGGAAAUUGACACGUUAACUUGAAUGGUUACGAUCAGCUGUGAUCGGCGGAUACGACCUUUUCGUAGCCGGAUGAAGGUGGAAAUUGGAGGGAACUCUUCCUCCUCAUGACUCCUCCCUCUCUCUUCCCUUUUCCUCUCUUUUCCUCCCCCCCGUCAGCGAAGGUGUGAGACGGGGGAAGGGGCAGAGCUACAUGACUUAUUACUCAUCCCUGCUUUUAGUGGACCUCAGAGCCGCAUGGAUGCCUGCUGGCGGUGUCGUGGAGCUGUGAACCCACGCUCUCCUCGCUCUGCCUGUUAGCUUGUCAAUCAGCCAGCCAGCCUGUCAGUCUCUGAUUCAGCCCCCUCAUCUCCUCCUCCCUGGCCUAGGUGCCUCCACCACCAAUCCUCUGCUCUCAAUCGCAGGAGGAGCCUCAGGGUCCGUUCCUCACCCGGCUCCUCGCUUCCUGUCCCCACGCGGACCCUCAGCCGUCACCCUUCCUCCCUCUCCACUCACGGUCUCCCAUAUCACCGCAGGAGGCCUGACUCACACCCGGGCCAGUCGAAAAAAUAAGCUAGCCAUGCAGAAGAAAAGGGAAGGCACGCAACCAAUAGAAACACGUCAGUCAAAGUACAGCGAGGAAAAAAAGGAAAACCAGACGAAGAAGAAUUUUACAUCAGGAUCAGACUGAUAUACUGAGAACAAGGUUUCACAAAUGUCAUCUUUAUAUCACUGAGUCUUAAAAAUCUUAAUCCAGAUGUUCGCUCAGAUCCAGACAACCAAGAAGACACUGAUACUGUUAGAAACACACUUCUGAUGAGUUCAGGUCAGUGAUUUGAAGAUAAAGCUGUUUCCAUUUGACGAUGAAGAAGGAGCAGCAGGAAUAAUUAGCAGCUCCGCUUCAUCCCUCGCUGUCUAAACCCUGAACCCCUCUCUCUCUCUCUCUCUCUCUCUCUCUCUCUCUCUGUCUGACUCCGUUUGCGUUGGUGUGUCGUCACAGGGCCGAGGGAUUUAAGCUAAGCCACAUCAGCAGCUGAAAAGGACUCCUCUGAGGAGAAACACACACAAAUACCGGCCUGGAUGUGGCGAAUACAUACCGCUGUAAUGUGUUUGCGUCUGCAGGAGUCAGAGAUCAAAAAUGGAUCCAGCUGCAGGAGCAAAGAGCUUUGCAUUAGCUAGAGUGCUCCACAAGGACCACAGGGACGCACAUGUUGUAGCUCGACCAUGAACAGACAUGUCAGACUCUGAACAAGUACGUACUCAAGUCCAUCUUCAGCUACAUGGGAGACUAGAGGGAUGUUUGUGGGUUUGAACCUGAAUCUGAAAAAGUCCACUCAGUCAUGAAGACGAACCCCGGGGACGGGUCACAGCGCUCCCUUCUGAUCCCGUCUCUUCACACAGAUCCAUCAAACACUGUGACACACACUUUCACACUCAAUCUGCAUAACUCGGACAGAUGCGCAAACACAUGUGGACAAACAUGCAGGAGUGCAAACACAGACACAGUCUGACAGAAACAAACAGCGUCAGAAAAACACAGGCCUUUUCUCUGAGUGUGUUAGGUCGAUCAGACGCUACGGGUCCUUAAAUUUAGACGUAAAGGUGGAGUAGACAGGAAUCUGUUAAAGAAGCAUCUUUUUUUGUGGUGUAUUUACAAAAAAUCUUUUAUCAGUCAAUAGUUAUUAGUUAUUGAUGACAUUUGGUAAUAUAUCGAUAUCUCUGUGUUCUCUUAUGUCUGUGUCGUCAACAUUUGAACAUUUUUGAGCGGUCCGCUCUUUCUGACUGUAAACAAAGCCGUUCUCCACCUCCUCUAACCUGAUUGGUUGUGAGGCAGACGCUGCUCCCCCGUGUCGUUCAGGAGCCCAAAC
Molecule: long non-coding RNA, 5154 nt
Filed under: Xyrichtys novacula (pearly razorfish)
Lineage: Eukaryota; Metazoa; Chordata; Actinopteri; Labriformes; Labridae
Source: RNAcentral